CCAUCCUCCCUCCCCCUGCUUCUAUGAGGGUGUUCCUCCACCCACCCACCCACUCCUACCUCCCUGCCAUCAGUUCCCCUACACUGGGGGCAUCUAUCGAGCCUUCAUAGGACCAAGGACCUCUCCUCCCAUUGAUGCAUGACAGGCCAUCCUCUACAACAUAUGCAGCUGGAGCCAUGUGUACUCCUUUGUUUGAUGGCUUAGUCCCUGGGAGCUCCUGCCUCUAUUCUUUUAAAAAAUGUACUUUAAGUAGUAAUCAGUGAUGCUGCUAGUUGGGUUUUCCAUGAAACGGAGGGAGAGUUAGGGAAAGAAUCAGCUAGUGUUCAGUUCUCAAAUGGCUAAUGGACUGCUGACAGUCAGUCUGGACCUUGUUACAAGGAAGGGGAUAAAUAGGGCCAGGAGUAGAAUAAAGAACUUCCAGAGUGUGCCAAGGGCUAGCUGUGAACUUUUUAAUCAGCCAAGACAGGUGUGAUGUCUGGGAGAGUUUGCCAAAGCCAUUGACCUAUGAUCAGCAGGUAAACAGGGAAGCAAGCAAGAUGGCAAAACAAGGGAUUUAGAACCACAAGUUUGGCUGAGACUGACAAUGACAUGCACACAUGCAACAAGUUAAUAAUGCCUUCCUUAACUGGCACUGAACGCAUCCUUUGGGGAGGCAGCAGAUAAUGCACUUGCAGUGGCAAGUGCUGAAGCAGAUGGCUGUUGACAGCGUGAACCCAGGAGCUGCAGACGAGGUUGCCCUGGAGACGUGCUCAGCUUUCUCAGAAUCUGAAUGGAGAGCUACCCCGCUAAUGGAUGAAAUCAUCCGUUAAAGAACAGGAGGAAGAAUGGAGGUCUCUCACAUCCUGUGCAGUGUCUGCCUGUGUGUCUCUAUACUCAGUCCCAUCUGCUGCAGGAGGAAGGAAGCCUCUUUGAUGAUGACCGAACAAGACACUAUCUGUCAGUAUAACAGAAUAUCAUUUGGAUUAAUUGUAUCACAGCAUUAUUUUUUUUUAGAACAGUAGUAUUUGGUUUUACUUUUGGUCUCUGGGCUAUCUAAUAUGUGGUUCUUGGUCACACAAGCAGUGUUGGAUAUGUUUUCAUCUUGUGAAGUGGGUCUUGGGUCAAAUCAGAUAAUGGUUGGUUACUCCCAAAGCUCUGCACCACCCCUAGGACAGGCGUUUUCAGUCUUCCUAAUGCUGUGACCCUUUAAUACAGUUCCUUAUGUUGUGGCGACCGGAGGCUAUAAAAUUGUUUCAUUAUAACUGCAAUUUUUGCUACUGUUACAAAUUGUAAUAUAAAUAUCUGAUACUUGGGGCUGGAGAGAUGGCUCAGUGGUUAAGAGCACUGACUGCUUUUCCAAAGGUCCUGAGUUCAAAUCCCAGCAACCAUCUAUAAUGGGAUCUGACACCCUCUUCUGGUGUGUCUGAAGACUACAACAGUGUACUCACAUAUAUAAAAUAAAUAAAUCUUUUAUUAAAACAAUUUUUAAUACUUGACCCCCAAAUGGUCACAACCAACAUGGGUUGAGAACUGGUGUCCUAGGAUUGUGGCUGGCUGGUGUUUACAUUUUUCUUUUGGUACCAUGCAGAGUACCAAAAACAAUGCUAGAACAUAUGGGAGAAGGCUCUAUGUAGGUACCAGCUCAAUGUCUACAUAUUCAGUAAAUUGUGUAGGUGUUGUCUUUUGAAAUGGGAACUUGCUAUCAGUUUGGGGAGAUUAACCUAUUGUCUUUGCUACAACCUGUGUUGUUCAGGAUUCCCAUAGGAAUCCUUUGGUUAACGAUUCAAUUAGGUGUAACCCAAUACCCAUCGUGGAAGCUUAAUUUGUUGACAAGAGAUGGCCAGUUGGGGCUCUGUCUUUCUCAUUAUUUGGCAAUUUGAUUUAGGUUACUUCCUAUAUGUGUAUAUUUUAGGAAGUUUCUUCUGUGUUGGGUUCCUAUAACAUUCCUCAAAUGCCCCUUACUUUUAGCUGUCUCUCCCUGUAUUAUCUCCCCCAACCCCCUUUCUUAUCUCCCUCCCCACUUUAUCCUGCCAUUCCAUCCACUUAUCCAUCCAUAACUAUUUAUUCUAUUCCCAUUUCCUAACAAGCUCUAUCUCUACCCUCUGGUCCCUUACUGUGUGCUUACCCAUUGUGGUCCUAAAGAUUUUAAGUGGUUAGCAUUGAUAUAACAGCUAAUGUCCACAUAUAAGUGGGAAUGCACCAACCAUGUUUGUCUUUCUAGGUCGGGGAUGCCUUUUUAUCUAGUUUCAUCCAUUUGUCUGCAAAUUUCAUGAUGAUUUUUUUUUAAACAGCUGAAUAAAACCCUUUUGAAUAAAUGUGC
This is a long non-coding RNA of Mus musculus (house mouse), 2299 nucleotides long. RefSeq annotates it as predicted gene, 52213. NCBI's taxonomy places the organism in Eukaryota, Metazoa, Chordata, Mammalia, Rodentia, Muridae. The transcript is spliced from 2 exons. The record is from RefSeq and is a predicted model, not a curated record.